GAUGUGAUGUAUCAAGAUGAGCAACAAAAGAAGAAUCCCAAGAUAAUCACGUAAUUAUGUUAGGAGAGAUUCUCAGUUCGAUCUAAUCCUGUCUAAACAGGCUGAAAGAAAUUAGUCACUCAGAAUUAUAUAAAAGGCUCUAUUGAGGCUUGCAAUGGUAAACAACAGACCCUGGAGUAUGGGGACAACACCAAGGUACUGCCAUACUUGAGGAGGAGAUGGCAUUUCUCAGGAUCAAUUCAACAAGAAGAGCUAACUAUCCUAAAUAUAUAUGCACCCAAUACAGAAGCACCCAGAUUCAUAAAGCAAGUCCUUAGUGACCUACAAAGAGACUUAGACUCCCACACAAUAAUAAUGGGAGACUUCAACACCCCAUUGUCAACGUUAGACAGAUCAACAAGACAGAAAAUUAGCAAAGAUAUCCAGGAAUUGAACUCGGCUCUGCACCAAGCGGACCUAAUAAACAUU
RNAcentral lists this long non-coding RNA (468 nucleotides) under Pan troglodytes (chimpanzee). RNAcentral's name for it is "lincRNA". Lineage: Eukaryota; Metazoa; Chordata; Mammalia; Primates; Hominidae. The record is from RNAcentral.